GACGAACGCUGGCGGCGUGCCUAAUACAUGCCAGUAGAACGCACAGUUUAUACCGUAGCUUGCUACACCAUAGACUGUGAGUUGCGAACGGGUGAGUAACGCGUAGGUAACCUGCCUGGUAGCGGGGGAUAACUAUUGGAAACGAUAGCUAAUACCGCAUAAUAUUAAUUAUUGCAUGAUAAUUAAUUGAAAGGUGCAAUUGCACCACUACCAGAUGGACCUGCGUUGUAUUAGCUAGUAGGUGAGGUAAAGGCUCACCUAGGCGACGAAACAUAGCCGACCGGGGAGGGUGGUCGGCCACACUGGGACGGAGACACGGCCCAGACUCCUUCGGGAGGCAGCAGUAGGGAAUCUUCGGACAUGGGCGAAAAUCUGACCGAGCAACGCCGCGUGAGUGAAGAAGGUUUUCGGAUCGUAAAGCUCUGUUGUAAGAGAAGAACGGGUGUGAGAGUGGAAAGUUCACACUGUGACGGUAUCUUACCAGAAAGGAACGGCUAACUACGUG
RNAcentral lists this ribosomal RNA (505 nucleotides) under uncultured bacterium. RNAcentral's name for it is "partial 16S ribosomal RNA". It matches the Rfam family "Bacterial small subunit ribosomal RNA", at positions 28 to 507 of the family's 1533-position model. The record is from RNAcentral.